RNAcentral lists this transfer RNA (82 nucleotides) under Helianthus annuus (common sunflower). RNAcentral's name for it is "tRNA-Val". It matches the Rfam family "tRNA". Rfam says of the family: Transfer RNA (tRNA) molecules are approximately 80 nucleotides in length. Their secondary structure includes four short double-helical elements and three loops (D, anti-codon, and T loops). The record is from RNAcentral. Lineage: Eukaryota; Viridiplantae; Streptophyta; Magnoliopsida; Asterales; Asteraceae.
GCUAAACAUCCAUGGCUGAAUGGUUAAAGUACUCAACUCACAAUUGGCGAAUUCGUAGGUUCAAUUCCUACCGGAUGCAUGC